AUGACGCUGGCGGCUGCUUACACAUGCAGUCGAACGGCAGCACGGGAGCAUCCUGGUGGCGAGUGGCGAACGGGUGAGUAGUAUAUCGGAACGUGCCCAGUCGUGGGGGAUAACGCAGCGAAAGCUGUGCUAAUACCGCAUACGAUCUACGGAUGAAAGCGGGGGAUCGCAAGACCUCGCGCGAUUGGAGCGGCCGAUAUCAGAUUAGCUAGUUGGUGGGGUAAAGGCCCACCAAGGCGACGAUCUGUAGCUGGUCUGAGAGGACGACCAGCCACACUGGAACUGAGACACGGUCCAGACUCCUACGGGAGGCAGCAGUGGGGAAUUUUGGACAAUGGGCGCAAGCCUGAUCCAGCAAUGCCGCGUGCAGGAUGAAGGCCUUCGGGUUGUAAACUGCUUUUGUACGGAACGAAACGGUCCUUUCUAAUACAAGGGGCUAAUGACGGUACCGUAAGAAUAAGCACCGGCUAACUACGUGCCAGCAGCCGCGGUAAUACGUAGGGUGCGAGCGUUAAUCGGAAUUACUGGGCGUAAAGCGUGCGCAGGCGGUUAUGUAAGACAGAUGUGAAAUCCCCGGGCUCAACCUGGGACCUGCAUUUGUGACUGCAUAGCUAGAGUACGGUAGAGGGGGAUGGAAUUCCGCGUGUAGCAGUGAAAUGCGUAGAUAUGCGGAGGAACACCGAUGGCGAAGGCAAUCCCCUGGACCUGUACUGACGC
RNAcentral lists this ribosomal RNA (717 nucleotides) under uncultured Comamonadaceae bacterium. RNAcentral describes it as "bacterial SSU rRNA". It matches the Rfam family "Bacterial small subunit ribosomal RNA", at positions 30 to 746 of the family's 1533-position model. Lineage: Bacteria; Pseudomonadati; Pseudomonadota; Betaproteobacteria; Burkholderiales; Comamonadaceae. The record is from RNAcentral.